This 235-nucleotide ribosomal RNA is filed under the name uncultured Actinomycetales bacterium. RNAcentral's name for it is "partial 16S ribosomal RNA". It matches the Rfam family "Bacterial small subunit ribosomal RNA", at positions 96 to 334 of the family's 1533-position model. The record is from RNAcentral. Lineage: Bacteria; Bacillati; Actinomycetota; Actinomycetes; Actinomycetales.
UGGCGAACGGGUGAGUAACACGUGGGUGAUCUGCCCUGCACUUCGGGAUAAGCCUGGGAAACUGGGUCUAAUACCGGAUAGGAGCCAUUUUUAGUGUGAUGGUUGGAAAGUUUUUUCGGUGUAGGAUGAGCUCGCGGCCUAUCAGCUUGUUGGUGGGGUAAUGGCCUACCAAGGCGGCGACGGGCAGCCGGCCUGAGAGGGUGGACGGCCACAUUGGGACUGAGAUACGGCCCAG